Molecule: ribosomal RNA, 403 nt
Filed under: bacterium
Lineage: Bacteria
Description: partial 16S ribosomal RNA
Rfam family: Bacterial small subunit ribosomal RNA
Source: RNAcentral
UGGGGUAUAUUGCACAAUGGAGGGAACUCUGAUGCAGCGACGCCGCGUGAACGAAGAAGGCUUUCGAGUCGUAAAGUUCUUUUAUAUGGGAAGAUAAUGACGGUACCAUAAGAAGAAGCCCCGGCUAACUACGUGCCAGCAGCCGCGGUAAUACGUAGGGGGCUAGCGUUGUCCGGAAUCACUGGGCGUAAAGGGUUCGCAGGCGGAAAUGCAAGUCAGGUGUAAAAGGCAGUAGCUUAACUACUGUAAGCAUUUGAAACUGCAUAUCUUGAGAAGAGUAGAGGUAAGUGGAAUUUUUAGUGUAGCGGUGAAAUGCGUAGAUAUUAAAAAGAAUACCGGUGGCGAAGGCGACUUACUGGGCUCAUUCUGACGCUGAGGAACGAAAGCGUGGGUAGCAAACAGG